UACAGAGGGUGCAAGCGUUAAUCGGAAUUACUGGGCGUAAAGGGCGCGUAGGUGGUUAUGUGCGUGAGAGGUGAAAUCCCCGGGCUUAACCUGGGAACUGCCUCUUAAACUGCAUGGCUGGAGUACGAUAGAGGGUAGAGGAAUUUCCGGUGUAGCGGUGAAAUGCGUAGAUAUCGGAAGGAACACCAGUGGCGAAGGCGACUACCUGGAUUGAUACUGACACUGAGGCGCGAAAGCGUGGGGAGCAAACAGG
This 253-nucleotide ribosomal RNA is filed under the name uncultured bacterium. Its description in RNAcentral is "partial 16S ribosomal RNA". It matches the Rfam family "Bacterial small subunit ribosomal RNA", at positions 524 to 776 of the family's 1533-position model. The record is from RNAcentral.